This 580-nucleotide ribosomal RNA is filed under the name uncultured bacterium. RNAcentral describes it as "partial 16S ribosomal RNA". It matches the Rfam family "Bacterial small subunit ribosomal RNA", at positions 355 to 932 of the family's 1533-position model. The record is from RNAcentral.
UGGGGAAUUUUGGACAAUGGGCGAAAGCCUGAUCCAGCAAUGCCGCGUGUGUGAAGAAGGCCUUCGGGUUGUAAAGCACUUUUGUCCGGAAAGAAAUCCUUGGCUCUAAUACAGUCGGGGGAUGACGGUACCGGAAGAAUAAGCACCGGCUAACUACGUGCCAGCAGCCGCGGUAAUACGUAGGGUGCAAGCGUUAAUCGGAAUUACUGGGCGUAAAGCGUGCGCAGGCGGUUUGCUAAGACCGAUGUGAAAUCCCCGGGCUCAACCUGGGAACUGCAUUGGUGACUGGCAGGCUAGAGUAUGGCAGAGGGGGGUUAGAAUUCCACGUGUAGCAGUGAAAUGCGUAGAGAUGUGGAGGAAUACCGAUGGCGAAGGCAGCCCCCUGGGCCAAUACUGACGCUCAUGCACGAAAGCGUGGGGAGCAAACAGGAUUAGAUACCCUGGUAGUCCACGCCCUAAACGAUGUCAACUAGUUGUUGGGGAUUCAUUUCCUUAGUAACGUAGCUAACGCGUGAAGUUGACCGCCUGGGGAGUACGGUCGCAAGAUUAAAACUCAAAUGAAUUGACGGGGUCAUAGCUG